Meriones unguiculatus (Mongolian gerbil) is the source of this 237-nucleotide long non-coding RNA. RefSeq lists it as uncharacterized. The record is from RefSeq and is a predicted model, not a curated record. The transcript has 3 exons. Lineage: Eukaryota; Metazoa; Chordata; Mammalia; Rodentia; Muridae.
CUAGAAUUACAGACCGUCAUGGGUGUGCUUCUCGCCAUCACCUGAAGACUGGCACAUUGGAGGCUCUGGGGGGCUCACACCAGACCUUUCCCUAACACCGCCUACCAAAGUGGAGACACGGGUGUGAUGUGUAUGUGGAUGCGAGUACAAGUCCAUGGAGGUCAGGAGCCUUCUUCCUCACUUUCCACCUUCUAUUUUGAGACAGGGUGUGGAUAUAUGAGCAAGAAAUGUCCCCCA